This 301-nucleotide ribosomal RNA is filed under the name uncultured bacterium. Its description in RNAcentral is "partial 16S ribosomal RNA". It matches the Rfam family "Bacterial small subunit ribosomal RNA", at positions 509 to 807 of the family's 1533-position model. The record is from RNAcentral.
CAGUAGCCGCGGGAAUACAGAGGGUGCGAGCGUUAAUCGGAUUUACUGGGCGUAAAGCGCGCGUAGGUGGUUUGUUAAGUUGGAUGUGAAAUCCCCGGGCUCAACCUGGGAACUGCAUCCAAAACUGGCAAGCUAGAGUAUGGUAGAGGGUGGUGGAAUUUCCUGUGUAGCGGUGAAAUGCGUAGAUAUAGGAAGGAACACCAGUGGCGAAGGCGACCACCUGGACUGAUACUGACACUGAGGUGCGAAAGCGUGGGGAGCAAACAGGAUUAGAUACCCCCGUAGUCCCUGUCUCUUAUAC